CGGGCUCGGCCUCCCUGCCC
This 20-nucleotide unclassified non-coding RNA is filed under the name Mus musculus (house mouse). Its description in RNAcentral is "oocyte_clustered_small_RNA8846". The record is from RNAcentral. Lineage: Eukaryota; Metazoa; Chordata; Mammalia; Rodentia; Muridae.